GAUCCUGGCUCAGGACGAACGCUGGCGACGUGCUUAACACAUGCAAGUCGAACGAGAAUCUGCGGAACGAGGAUUCGUCCAAGUGAAGCAGAGGACAGUGGCGGACGGGUGAGUAACGCGUGAGGAACCUGCCUUUCAGAGGGGGGACAACAGUUGGAAACGACUGCUAAUACCGCAUAACACAUGGGUGUCGCAUGGCACUUAUGUCAAAGAUUUAUCGCUGAGAGAUGG
RNAcentral lists this ribosomal RNA (231 nucleotides) under uncultured bacterium. Its description in RNAcentral is "partial 16S ribosomal RNA". It matches the Rfam family "Bacterial small subunit ribosomal RNA", at positions 15 to 228 of the family's 1533-position model. The record is from RNAcentral.